RNAcentral lists this ribosomal RNA (352 nucleotides) under Periclimenes yucatanicus. RNAcentral's name for it is "partial small subunit ribosomal RNA". Lineage: Eukaryota; Metazoa; Arthropoda; Malacostraca; Decapoda; Palaemonidae. The record is from RNAcentral.
UGCUUGAGUAGUAAUCAGUUAUGAUCUUGAAACUUAAAGGAUUUGGCGGUAUUCAAGUCUAGUUAGAGGAACCUGCCCUAUAAACGAUAUGCCACGUAAUAUCUUACUUUUAUUUGUUAAUUCAGUUUGUAUACCGCCAUUAAUAAGUAAUGUUAAUAAACAUGUUCUAAAAUAAUAUUAUUUAAUAUAUUAGGUCAAGGUGCAGCUAAUAUAAAAGAAGAGGUGGGUUACAAUACAUUAUAUGUGCGGAUAAGUAACUUAUAAUUAUUUUAAAGGUGGAUUUAAUAGUAAAAUCAUUUUAAUAAGAUGGUUUGAUAAAAGCUCUAGAAUAUGCACACAUCGCCCGCUCUUA